This 444-nucleotide long non-coding RNA is filed under the name Mustela putorius furo (domestic ferret). RNAcentral describes it as "lncRNA (ENSMPUG00000032029.1)". The record is from RNAcentral. Lineage: Eukaryota; Metazoa; Chordata; Mammalia; Carnivora; Mustelidae.
GCCCGGGGGGCAGCACUCUUGGGACGCCCGCGCAUGCCCUCUUACGUGCUUUGGUCUCGGCGCCGCUCGUAGGGCAAAGCGCGCGCGGGUGGAAGAGCUCCUCCUCCGCCUAGCAGGCGCUGCUCCCGCGGGGCAGGUAAGCCAGGUUGAGGGAGACCGGGAGCUGGGCGGGGCUGUCGACCCACCCGGGCCUCGUGGCCGUUUUGGGACUGAGGACUUUCUGGACAGGGGCGCCCACCUCCCGGCGGACCGCGCUCGGUCCGGCCGCACACUGGUCGACUCGCUCGAUUUUAUUUAUUUUGAGAGAGAUUAUGAGCAAGGGCAGAAGCGGAGGCAGAGGGAGAGAGAGAAUCUCAAGCAGACUCCACAUUGAGCAUGGAGACCAACUCAGGGCUCCAUCCCACAACGGCGAGAUCAAGACCUGAGGUGAAAUAAAAAAUCAGU